RNAcentral lists this non-coding RNA (203 nucleotides) under Pneumocystis wakefieldiae. Lineage: Eukaryota; Fungi; Ascomycota; Pneumocystomycetes; Pneumocystales; Pneumocystaceae. The record is from RNAcentral.
UUGGAAAGUCCGAUACGAAUUAAAGAUAAUAGAUGUAUUCUAUUCUGUAAAAACAGAAGAGAUUUAAAAGAAACUAAACAAACUAUUCAUGGCGAACUUAUUAAUCUUAUCUUCGUUGCUUGAAAAAUUCUUGGGGAUUUAUUUAUUAAACCCAGUAUGUAUGUAGAGUAGAUAAUAAAUAAAUAUAACAGAAUUCGGCUUAU